CUGAGCCACCAGGCUGUGCCUUGGCCCCAGGAGGUGCCAGCAACCCAAUAAAGCAUCACAUUUCUCACAUCUCUCUCGUCUCAGUGUUUCCUUAAGCUCCUCAUCCUUAUUUUCCGUUCAUGCUCAUUCCAUAUAUGCCUCUCUCGCUUUCAACCCUUGUGAUACUCUGACCAGACCUGGUAUGGAUCAUCCCUGGAUACUCAUCCCUGCUCUCCUCCACCAACUGGGUCCCAGGUGAUGGAGAAAACCCCAAAAGCUCUCCACAUCCUGCAGGAAUGCCCAGCCCUGGAUUCCCCCAGAGCCCCCACAUCCCCGGGGCUUUGCACUCUUUUCCCACCCCCAUGGGGCUUCCCAACCUCAACAGCUUUUUAGAUGCUGCCCUGAGCUGGUGAUCACCGGCUGGCACACAACAAUCAGGCAGGUUUUGUGUUGUACAGGUUUUAUUGCUUUUUUUUAAUGGUCUCACAAUAUUUAUAUAAGAAAGACAAAAAUAAGCCCAAAACCCUUUUAGAUAUUUACAAUACAGUCAAGGCAGUUGAUGUAGCAACUCAUUUGGACUGAAGGACUGGACCCUGCUCGCAUCAGCUUGAGGGAAAUAUAUCACUGCAGCAAACAUCCAUCCUCGUGGUUAAGUGACCAUGAAGUGAAUCCUUAUCUCUGACUUUGCUCUCUGGCUUUCCAAAACUUAUAGGUGAGGACAGGAAUAUUACACACCUGACAGCUAUCUGCAAUAUUUUUUUCCACUGGAGUUUGGGGUUUCCAGCAUCCCCUCCUUGCUAUUAAAGCAGCUUUGUUUUAUUGGUUUCUGUAUCAGGAGCAAAGCCUUAAUCAAGAAUGGAUCACUCACUGUCAGCUGCAUUUCUUUGUGCAUCUCUCUGCUUUUUACACAAAAACAUGGGUAAAAGUUUUCCUAAACUUAAAAAAUAAAACUAAUAAAAAAAGAAGUCUGGGAUUCCCUUUUUUUUCAAUGGAAAAGGAAGACAACACACUGGCUGAGCUGUAUUUACGGGACCAAAACAUCUCCGAAGUGCUGAGGUGUGUUUCUGGCCCCCUCAAACCCGUGGGAAUUUUGUUGUUGACUUCAAAUCAGCCAGAGAUGAACUCCCAACCACAGACCUUUAAUUUUCCCCAAAUAAUUUUCUCUCUUUAUUCAUUAUUACUGGACAGCCUGAGUCAACUAAUUGCAUAAUUCAUUCCAGCCCUUCUGAGUAGCGAUUUUUCACUUUCUACCCAUUAAAACCAAAGGAGCUGGCAGAGGACAGUGUUCAUACAUCAGCCCUGGUUUUGCUGCUGCAUUUAUGUGAAGAAAACAGCAAAUCUGUCCCCGUACCCCCAGAUCUUCAAGCUGCAUUUGCAAAGCACCCCAAAGAGACGCCCAUGGAGCAUCGGGACAAAAGAAAUAGGAAACCCAGGGUUAUUU
This 1420-nucleotide long non-coding RNA is filed under the name Anas platyrhynchos platyrhynchos (common mallard). RNAcentral's name for it is "lncRNA (ENSAPLG00000028046.1)". Lineage: Eukaryota; Metazoa; Chordata; Aves; Anseriformes; Anatidae. The record is from RNAcentral.